GAAGAGGAGGCUGCAAAAUGGGCCCGGGAAGAAGAAGAAGCCCAGCGUCGAUUAGAGGAGAACCGGCUGCGGAUGGAAGAGGAGGCAGCCAGACUCCGGCAUGAGGAAGAAGAACGGAAGAGAAAGGAGCUGGAGGUCCAGCGGCAGAAGGAGUUAAUGCGCCAGAGGCAGCAGCAGCAAGAGGCUCUCCGGAGGUUGCAGCAGCAGCAGCAGCAACAACAGCUGGCGCAGAUGAAGCUUCCUUCUUCUUCAACGUGGGGCCAGCAGUCCAAUACAACAGCAUGUCAGUCCCAGGCCACGCUGUCGUUGGCUGAAAUCCAAAAACUAGAGGAAGAACGAGAACGGCAGCUUCGAGAAGAGCAAAGGCGCCAGCAGAGGGAGUUGAUGAAAGCUCUUCAGCAGCAGCAGCAACAGCAACAGCAGAAACUCUCAGGUUGGGGGAAUGUCAGCAAACCUUCAGGUACCACGAAAUCUCUUCUGGAGAUCCAGCAGGAAGAGGCCAGGCAAAUGCAAAAGCAGCAGCAGCAGCAGCAGCAACACCAGCAACCAAACAGAGCUCGUAACAAUACGGUCAUUCCAACCUGCACACCAGCAUUGGGAAUUCUGUUUGGGGCUCUAUAAAUACUGGUCCUCCUAACCAGUGGGCAUCUGACCUAGUCAGUAGUAUUUGGAGUAAUGCUGACACUAAAAACUCCAACAUGGGAUUCUGGGAUGAUGCAGUGAAAGAGGUGGGACCUAGGAAUUCAAC
This 748-nucleotide long non-coding RNA is filed under the name Homo sapiens (human). RNAcentral describes it as "long non-coding RNA NONHSAT183757.1". Lineage: Eukaryota; Metazoa; Chordata; Mammalia; Primates; Hominidae. The record is from RNAcentral.